CUCAGGCGGAGAGGAUCACUUUUCAAAGAUUGUAAAAGAAGUUACGUGGAUAGUGUGUGUUAUGCAGCAAGAAUUACUGUAUGAGAUGAAUGAGAAUUAUACUGGUGAACUUCAUCCCUUUUUAAUAGGAAAGGAAUGGAAAAUCAGAAGACGUGUUUAGAUCACACAAACCAGAGGUGAAAGCUGAAUCUGAGAGGCUUCUGUUUCCAGCAAUAAGGCCAAUAAUACCCCAAGCUCCUGACUGAAACCAAACACUCUGGAGGGACACUCUCACAUGCAGGCCAGAAGGAAUUUGAAUAGAAGGAAACAGGCUAAAGAAGAGAGCUCAUGGCAAAAAUUACAAACCAUACAAGGAAGGCAUUCACCACAGUGAGACUCUGUUGUUUGGUGAAUACUCAUUUAGGAUUGUUAAAUCUUCUUGGAGGAUUGACCUUUUUAUCAUUAGGUUGCUGAAGAAGAAUCUUACUCUAGGGCUCACUAGCAACUUUGGACUGGUGAUGUAUAAGACAUUAUAUAUUUCUGGGGUUUUUUUUUUGCUUUUUUUAUUUACAAAAGGUGAAUUUAGUUGUUUCUCUCUCAUUCCCUUAGUUCAAAAAUGAUUAGCCCCAGAUAUUGCCCUAUUCUUUUCCAAAUUCUGGUUAUACAUCAAAAUAAACAACCAAACAAAAACAUAGGGUUAGGGGAGAUUGGAUGAAAGAAAGAAGAAGAUGAAAGAAAGAAGAAAAAAACAUUCAAAGGCAAUGUUUUUCUUAACUGCUGUUCCCUUCAGUAAGAUAUAUAUUUCAGGCUGUGUCCACAGCACACACAUAUUUAACUAAAACAAACAUUUGACAAAGCAAUAGUUAUCCUUACAGAGGGAUAUGACACUUUUAUAUUUCCUGUUCUAGUCUAUCCUUUUUAAUGGUGCUUUUGACACACUAAUUAAGUCCAUAAACCACGAAGGGAUACCACCAAUGGUUUGAAAAUGAUAUCUUAAGGAGAUGCAAAAAUGUGAAAAGAGGGAGUUUCGUUUCAUAUGUAAUACGUACUAACUGACCUAGACUUUGUGAAAGUGGUAAAAAAAAUCACAGUGUGAUUUCAUUUCUAUAAAGAAUGCACAUCCAUAUAGACUCCUUCAGGCUGGGUAGGAGGCAGUGCUGGGUUGUGCUUUCUUCUUUUUCUUUCUUUUUUUUUUUUUUUUUUUUUUUUUUGAGACGGAGUCUCACUGUGUCGCCCAAGCUGGAGUGCAGUGGUGCGAUCUCGGCUCACUGCAACCUCCGCCUCCCGGGUUCACGCCAUUCUCCUGCUUCAGCCUCCCCAGUAGCUGGGACUAAG
This 1314-nucleotide long non-coding RNA is filed under the name Homo sapiens (human). RNAcentral describes it as "HSALNT0125885". Lineage: Eukaryota; Metazoa; Chordata; Mammalia; Primates; Hominidae. The record is from RNAcentral.